CACUAUCGUUAACUGAAUACAUAGGUUAACGAGGCGAACCGGGGGAACUGAAACAUCUAAGUACCCCGAGGAAAAGAAAUCAACCGAGAUUCCCCCAGUAGCGGCGAGCGAACGGGGAGCAGCCCAGAGUCUGAAUCAGCUUGUGUGUUAGUGGAACGGUCUGGAAAGUCCGACGGUACAGGGUGAUAGUCCCGUACACCAAAAUGCACAGGCUGUGAACUCGAAGAGUAGGGCGGGACACGUGGUAUCCUGUCUGAAUAUGGGGGGACCAUCCUCCAAGGCUAAAUACUCCUGACUGACCGAUAGUGAACCAGUACCGUGAGGGAAAGGCGAAAAGAACCCCGGCGAGGGGAGUGAAAAAGAACCUGAAACCGUGUACGUACAAGCAGUGGGAGCACCUUCGGGUGUGACUGCGUACCUUUUGUAUAAUGGGUCAGCGACUUAUAUUCUGUAGCAAGGUUAACCGUAUAGGGGAGCCGCAGGGAAACCGAGUCUUAACUGGGCGUUAAGUUGCAGGGUAUAGACCCGAAACCCGGUGAUCUAGCCAUGGGCAGGUUGAAGGUUGGGUAACACUAACUGGAGGACCGAACCGACUAAUGUUGAAAAAUUAGCGGAUGACUUGUGGCUGGGGGUGAAAGGCCAAUCAAACCGGGAGAUAGCUGGUUCUCCCCGAAAGCUAUUUAGGUAGCGCCUCGUGAACUCAUCUUCGGGGGUAGAGCACUGUUUCGGCUAGGGGGUCAUCCCGACUUACCAACCCGAUGCAAACUACGAAUACCGAAGAAUGUUAUCACGGGAGACACACGGCGGGUGCUAACGUCCGUCGUGAAGAGGGAAACAACCCAGACCGCCAGCUAAGGUCCCAAAGUCAUGGUUAAGUGGGAAACGAUGUGGGAAGGCACAGACAGCCAGGAUGUUGGCUUAGAAGCAGCCAUCAUUUAAAGAAAGCGUAAUAGCUCACUGGUCGAGUCGGCCUGCGCGGAAGAUGUAACGGGGCUAAACCAUGCACCGAAGCUGCGGCAGCGACACUAUGUGUUGUUGGGUAGGGGAGCGUUCUGUAAGCCUGCGAAGGU
RNAcentral lists this ribosomal RNA (1070 nucleotides) under Klebsiella sp. K4-50. RNAcentral describes it as "partial 23S ribosomal RNA". It matches the Rfam family "Bacterial large subunit ribosomal RNA", at positions 146 to 1257 of the family's 2925-position model. The record is from RNAcentral. Lineage: Bacteria; Pseudomonadati; Pseudomonadota; Gammaproteobacteria; Enterobacterales; Enterobacteriaceae.